This 27-nucleotide small nuclear RNA is filed under the name Arabidopsis thaliana (thale cress). RNAcentral's name for it is "snRNA_07257". Lineage: Eukaryota; Viridiplantae; Streptophyta; Magnoliopsida; Brassicales; Brassicaceae. The record is from RNAcentral.
CUGCCACGAUCCACUGAGAUUCAGCCC